Molecule: long non-coding RNA, 4044 nt
Filed under: Homo sapiens (human)
Lineage: Eukaryota; Metazoa; Chordata; Mammalia; Primates; Hominidae
Description: non-protein coding lnc-KANSL2-1:2
Source: RNAcentral
CUGGUGGGUGGGAUUGGAGGGUGGGAAUGUGUGAGGGUGGGUGGGAGGCUAGGUUUUUGGCUAGGAGUUCUGAAAUAGGCUCAGGCCACUUUUUUCAGACUUUUAAGUGUGUAUGUAAGUGUGGGUAUGUGUGUUUUUAAGUGUGUGUGUUUAAAAAUAAUGUUUUAUCUUCCCUCCCUGUUCCUUACCGUUUUCAUUUUCCAACAGUCUACUAGAGAAAAACAUGGUUGGCCUUGAGAACAUAAAGGAAGAGGCAUGUAUUUGACAUGGUAUUUUUCCCUUUCUUUAUGUUAUAAUUGAGUAGUAGCCCUCUAAUUUGUAGUUUGGGCAAGUACAGCCAACACCCUGACUCUUAACCUUAUUAUGAGAACUUCCUUUUUACCCCUUUUUUUGUUUUUGUGCAAAACAGAGAUGGGGUUGAGGAAGGAGGGUUGGCGAGCAAGGCCAGCUUCUGCCCUACAGAAUUGGGUGUGUCUUUUUUUUCAAGUGAGGCUUUGGGAAAGUGUUCAAAUGAGAGCAGUCUUAAGGUCUCUAAGAGAUGGGGAAUGUGCUAUGUAUAUCCUGCCUGUGAAAGCCCAAACCAUAUGGGAGAAGCUAGAGGAUACUAAAAACAAUGAAAUUGUGAUUUGGAAGUUUAGAACAUUGUUUUAAAAAUUACAUUAUAAAUGUAAGACAUGCUUUUUAUGUGUAUAUCCGAAGGGAAACAGCUACAUCCUCAAGUUUUUGCAGCCUAUAUGACUUGAGAUUGGAGCUUGUGAAUUUAACAGUACUGGUGCCAUGAGAAUGAGCAAAGCCUAGCCAAUGGAUACUAUUGUGUUUAGAUUGUUCAUCUUUGGUAGCUUUAGGUUCUUGAUCGAGGUUCUUAAGAUUUCUAAGUCCUUUAUAAAAAUAGGUCAAGAGUCCUGUUGUUAUGGAGGCUUGAUUAUCCCAGAUAUUAGGAGUGAACAUUUUUAAUAAAUCUUUCAGAAAAUCUUGGCUAGAAAGAAUUCUAAGUUAGUUGUCUAACCACUGAAAACUACCUAGCCAGAGAUCAUUUAAUGAGAUAUUCUUUGAUCUUCAUUGCAUUUUUUUUGCUCUGGAAAAGGUGGUUCAAUUUGAGUUUGUUUUCAUGAUUUGAUUGCAGCUUACUUCAUGCCAAGGAUUUUUUAGGGAGAGGUCGAAUUAUUUUUCAUUUGGAAGUCAUAGGGAGACAGGAGUUGUACUUAUGCUGCUACUUGCCAGGAACAGGUUGGGAAGAAAAUUGUGGCUGUUGGAAUUGAUGAUGUACUGGCCUAAUAUAGAAAGGAAUUUGUAGGCAGGAGUAAACGUUAACUGACGGUGGGUUAGUGCCCUGCAUCUUGCAUAUUUGAACUGUCUAGAGUUCCUGCCAUUGCUGGGUAUAAAACGAGGAGCUCUCUGUUGACCUGUAAAUCAUUAAUACUUCUUGACUUAGAGUGUCACUUCACUUUAUAGAUGACAUUUUCCUCUUUCCCCUUGAUAUUUUCUAUGUUGUGUUAGAUAAUUGGUAGAUAUAUAGUUGUGGUUUAGUACAUUUAGGGCUUCUAUUUAUUUAGAUUUUGUUUGUUGGAGUCUGUUUCCAAAAGGGAAUGUGCCAUUUAGUCUGCAUCUGUAUCUUUGUGGACUUGAUGAUCACUGGUUUGAUUUUGAAAAAUGUCUUUUCCAGCUUUUAGUUACUCUCAUCAAAUGUCACAUAUUUUCUAAUCACAUGCACUCCUUUACCACAGAGGCACAUAAUCAUUUGGCCUCAUAGCAGUUAUCCAUGGCCGUACUGUAGUAAAGUUCCUUAGAACUUUGCCAGGAGUGAACUAGAAAAAAGUGCUUACUAGGGCCUAAGAGUUGCUUUGUGCCGUGUAGUCCGGCCUUUGCACUAGUAGAUCAUUGCUGACAUAGGUCAGUUUAGAGACCUUUCUGUGUUAAUGCCUCCUGGUACUGUCUUAAGAUACGUACAGUGUCUGUUUUUAGAUCUAUGCAUAUGUCAUGAAGCUCCUUGUGGGCUCUGCAUGAAGCUGCUGCUUUGUUUUUGGGUUAACAGAUGUGCCUGUCAACUAGCAUGUGUAUUGUCCAAAUUCCAUAAACUUAAGGUUUUUAAGGGCUGUGUGGUUUCUGAGCUCUAUGUGUCUUUCCUAUCCUUGUACCUUCAAAGGGUGAGAAAUGAGAUUUAUACAUCCAAAGUUAGUCUGAUAAAUAUGGCUUUUUGUUUCUCCAUGUAACCUAGACUGUCAAAAAUAAGUGAUGGUGAUAAGUAGGCCUGGAGCCUCAGCUUCUGUAAAUCUCAUUCCUAAAAUUUUGCUAGACUCGUGUUGGCAAAAACAAAUACCUGUGGAUUGUCCUUAAGGCUUUUAAUCAGAUACCUGUGUUGCUGUUAGCUGAACUGUAGUGAAGCAUCGAUCCAAAUCGGUCUUCUGAAGUAUCAGUUAUGCUUUUGAGUUUAGAAAAUACUUAGGUGUUAGUCUAGUCUUCCCAUUCAUGAAUCAGUGUAUGUCCAUAUCAGAGAGCCUCAACUUCUUUUUUCUUCCUUUUUAAAAAUGAUUUUAGUGUUUUGAUUUAGUGUAUACUACAUAGUUCAGUAUUAUUGGCUUUACCAGUGUUGACAGAAAAAUUUUAAAUCUCCAGUUGCAAACAGCAAUGGAUUAGGAUAUGGAAAUAAAAUCAUGGUGACAUCACUGCUGAGUUAUCUUAAACCUCUGCUACUUAAUUCUCCAUAUUGAAAUGCAUACUCCUCCACAUACAUGGCUUCCAAGUAAAGGCAAUUGUAGAGGGGCCCUGUCUAUCCCAGUAUGGUUGGAUUUUAAACAUAUCUGUGUUUCCGUUAUUUUGGGAACUGAUUAAUAUUUACAAUUUUUUUUGUUUAUGAGUUAUUUUGAUACUAAGAAAAGAGAGAAUCUAGAACAUCUUGCAGUUGAAAUACAAAUUUUAUUCUUUUGGUCUUGGGAGAAUUUAAGCAGUCUAUGCAACUCAUCAAAUGGUGAGAAAUAGCCCUCCGAGGUUCCAGUAAGCUUUCAGUGACUUUGAUACCUCCCCAAGUUUCUUGAGUUGCUGCUUGUUAACACCCAGCUUUUAACUGAGUGUUUGCUCCUGAUGGUUUAGGAGAUUUUCAUGUUGUAUCACACUGUCAAGUUUUAUUUUGUCUUUUUAUCCCUCCGUGGAUGUGAGUUUGAAACAAGCACGGUACAGUAAUCCUGCCUGAUAGAGUAGUCUGGAAUGAGAAUUACUUUUUGGGUGAGAGAGUUCUCCAUUUUAAUGUUUCUAAAGUUUUUCAUAUGAACUUGGCAUUGGAAAAGGGAGGUAAAGAAAAAGGACGUUUACUAAAAGCAGUGUCUACUCUUCCCCUUUGUGAGUGUUUAUUCAUGGCUAAUGAAAAAAAGAGAAGGACUCUUGGGUUUUGUGUUGCCAUGUUAAGCAUGGAGAGGGAUGCUUGACAGCAUGCUAAUUGAAGCCAGAGCAAGUAUGUCCUUCAUCAGGUAAUCAGGAACUCUUCAGUUGAAGCUGAGGAACUAACUGAUUAGUUGUUGAUCAUAAUAUAAUUGGUUACAAAGUGGAAGUGCCAGCUGGCUUAAGUACCCAAAGAAAAGAAUGCAGCAGCCUAACUUAGUGUUACCAUAUGUUACUGAAUUUGAAACUGACCUUUUUUCCCACCCUACUUCACACACCUAAAACUCUUUUCUUGUCAGACCAAAGAGCGAAAAGAAAAAAAAAAGUAAAACACUUUACCAAUCUGUCACUCAGGUACAAUUUUGUGGUGAGAUUUUUGUCUGUUCUCUUUGUAUUGCUCUUAAGAGUCCUUUCUCAGCAUAUUAUUCUGCCAUUGCCUCUGUCUUCCUUGGGGCACCUCAGCUCUGGAUGCUACCCCUGGGAUAUCUACUGCUGUUAUGUGAAUGAUAGGAGGUAAGUGACCAUUAUAGUAAGGGCUCUUUGUAAAAAAAUUCAAAAAAUUUAAAAAGGAUGUAUACAUUUUAUAGUCUGGCUAUCAGUUUGAUAUCUUGCUGUCAAGUAUGUUUCUCAAUCUGUAUUUAUCCAUCCCAUCAAUAAAUGUUAAUGGUAAAA